Long non-coding RNA from Cynoglossus semilaevis (tongue sole), 7853 nucleotides. RefSeq lists it as uncharacterized. The transcript has 3 exons. The record is from RefSeq and is a predicted model, not a curated record. NCBI's taxonomy places the organism in Eukaryota, Metazoa, Chordata, Actinopteri, Pleuronectiformes, Cynoglossidae.
UGGCAGAUACCCUAAAUCCUUCAUACAUUUUCUAUAGCUGAACAUCUUGUUUUGGGAUAUUUUUUAAAAAUUGUUUUACUUAUCAAUUAUUUUUGUUAAUAUGCUGAUAUAAUGUUUAAUUUUGGUCUAUCUUGGUAUAAUUUUGUAUUAUCAAUAUGGAAAAUGUAUUUAAUUCCAAUGUAAAGUCUUUAUGUUGAUAUUCUAUUCACACUGUCGCUCUGUCCCUUGGGAGUGAUCCUUCGUGACUAAAUCGUUUGUGUUUGAUUCAGAUCAUGUAGAGAUGCAGUUACUCUUGCAGUCAGUCACAAAUAUGCAGAUUUAAAGGAGAUUUUCUUGGUAGCUGUGAACCUACUUUAAUCACAGGAAACAGGAGGCAGAUGAAAUUUACGGUGACAUUCCGUGAACACCAUGAGUAGAAUGGCUUGAAAGGUGUUUACUUUACACAGGGCUUAACAAUAAAUGUAGGACAGGUUCUAUGUCAAUGAGAAAUAUUUGAUAUGCAUUACAUUUCUGUCAUUUGUAAUUUUCUGAGGCCAUUAAAUAUUGAUAACAAUGAACCAGACUGUAAGGAGGGGCCAAGGCAGAUGGUGAUCCAUUUAUCAGGCAUUUUAGUGAGUGUUCACUGUCAGUUGCCCAAAGUGUGAUGCCAUAUUUUCAUUUUUAAUUCGGCCAAACAUCACAUAAUAUAUAUGACUUUUAGGAACCAUAGUACCCAAUGAAAAGGACACAUAUAACAUGACUGUUAAAAAAAAGUACUGUGUUUUGAAAACAUUUGGAGAAAUAAUUCUGGAAGUAAAUUAGGUUUACCUUGCAUGAGUAAUUUAGGGAAAUGGAAGUUUAUGGAAAAGGGUUAAAAUAAGGAGUGAGAGACAAGUGUCAGAGAGAAUGUUUGUUUUGAGUAACCAGGAUAUUCAUGAUUUGACAUGUGCAGAUCAAAAGAACUACUAAGGUUGAGCAAGUUAGAGAUGAGGUGAGAGAAAGGAUUUCAACAGAGUGAACAUUUGACCAGGACAUAAUGGGAAAAGAAUGUUGGAGAAGGACCUGCCACACAGGAGAAAGAGAGGAAGACCUCAGAAAAGAUUCAUGGACAUUGUAAGGAGCUGCACAAAAAAGACAAACUAGAAGAAAUAAUAAUAAUAUAUUAGCAUAUAUAUAUUAGCAUAUAUUAACAAUAACAAUAUUACUAAUAGUAAUAAUAAUGAGAAAAAGAAAGAAAAGUAAAUGUACAAAUGUGCAAAAAAUUGCAUAUCCAAUAUAGAAAUCUCACCGUAUGCUCAAAGUGAGAUGCGUUUAUCAUUGAAUUGUUAAAGUCAUCUGACAACCAGUCGUGUGUUCAUAGUUUAUGUGAGUUCUCAUUUGUUUUCUCUAGGCAUUAGGGCUUUAUAUACAUUGUCGUAAUGUAUUAAUGUGGUUUUUCAUCCUGCAACAUCUGUUGGCCAUCAGGCUGCGAGAAGAAAAGUCCACAUGUGGUAACACUAACUGAAUUACCUAAAGUAAGCUGGGACACUAGAAGUGCAUUGGAGCUGCCCCUCUGUCUGUGUUUUCUCUUUUUGUGCAAAUUGGCAGGACUUUUUUUUUAAUAAAACAGUGAAAUCAGAUUUUCUAGGUGGCAGUAAUUCAACCUAAAGACAACUAAUUGCCCUUAAAAUGGAAAGAACACCACAUAUUAUUUUUGGCACUACUCUUUUUGUGAGCUUUGGGCAUAAUUUUAAAUGAGUUAUUUGAUGCUAGAAUGGGGUUACUUUUUUUUAAAAAGAGGGAAUUAAAAAUAUGUUUUGUCAUAGCCACGCUGGAUUGCUCACAUGUGAUUAUCUGCUGGCAUAUACAUGGCUGUCAUGAAGCACAUUUCGCACAUACCGUACAGUGAGGGUUUGUAAUUGGAGGAUUGCAGUAAAGGGUGCAGCUUAUUGCCCCUGUUUCACACAUGGGUUAGUUCAGAGGUUAAUAUCCCGAAGGAGAUGAAUGAAUUACCGAGAAAAAUAAUGGCCGGUCUGAAAUCUAGGUAAAUGUAUAACCCGCUCUGGUAGAAAAAAUAAAUCUAUGACUAAGACCAUAUUUAUAAUAAAAACAAUGUCCAUUUAGCACCCCCUGCAGGGACAUUUCACACAUGCUACACAAAAUAACAUUUAAAUGUUGCUGUGAAAAAUGUUCUUUUUCUUCUGCAGAAAAUCAUUAGAAGGUUGACACAAUGAUCAUACAGAGGUUUUGUGUCUGCAACCACGCUGUGUUUGCACAUAAGGUUUGCAUGUGUCUGUGUGUGUUUACAAUUUCCCAGCUUGCUAGAUCAUCUCCUAGCAACGGUCGAUCUUAAAAGCUGUACUGUAUAUCCUCAAUUGCAGGUUCUACCCCUGGGGCAAGCAUGGCACAAUGCAAUCAUGCCUGGAGUUCCUAUAGCAACUCUAAUGAACAAGGCAAAGACAACAUGAGGAAAACAGGAGCAGGACAAAGAACCUGGGCAGAACAGACAGUGGAUAUUUAAGAACAUUUACAGACUGUUGCUUCUGGAAUCGCUUUCUUAAAUUGCCAAUGUGCUAGAUGCAAUUUGAAAUUUGUCUUGAUAGGUGCAAUAAAUCUUCCCCAAAUGUAAGUGAAAAUAAGACAGCGUUAGCCAACGCAGUCAUAGGGGACAAAAGGUACAAUUAGUUUAAAAAAUCUAAAUUAAAAACAAAAAUGUAACUAUAAUGAAUAAAAACUGAAGAAGAAACAGUUUAAGAUAUGAGAAGUAAAUAUUAUUAUUUUUACUUAAAAGCCUAAAAUAACAGCACAUGACUCAGAAUGUGCGAAAAUACCAAGAAGACAGAAAAUGACAAAAUGUCACUCUACAAAUAGCUUUAACUGGCCACAAAGGUACAUCUCUCUCAACACUGUUAUGUGUUGGUCUGGUGUUCCUGUUGUCAGUUGAUGGUAUGCAGCGUUACAGGAAUGUGCGCUUUGUACUCUGCAUGCCCCAGCCUGAGCCUAAGCCGAGGAUCCCUGCUAUUUACCUUUUACAUCAGAGGAGGAAGUGUUAGUGACAUGACUUUGAGAUGUAAACAGAUGAGGUGUAUACAUUUUUUAAUCAAUGCAUUUCUGACUUUACAAACUGAUCAUAUUUCAUGAACCUUUUAACAAAUCCUCACUCACUUCAGUUUGCAGUGCUGAUCAAUAUCAUACAGUAAGUAAUCAUAGAAAAAGUUUGGUUAUUGUAUUAAUGUAUGGAUAUUUGCAACAAUGUAAAUAAUUAUUGAACCUUCAGCAAUAUUUUGUCUUUCUUUAAAACUAUGUCUGUGGUGUAGUGUGCCUUAAACCAACUGUACUUUUUAAUCCAGGGUCGUAAAUUUAUUCAAUUGAACAUUACCCAAAGUAUGACUUGAGUACGCCACGAACCUCUUGUACGUGGAAAAUGCUGCCAUCUUGUGUUAGAAAGCAGUAUUUAAUUUUACGAAAAAAAGUUCAAACGUGACUAACUCUCUGGACAUUUGUUACCACUUAACAGUGUUGACGACGACUGUAUCAGUGAUGCAAUUUAUUGUGGUUGAUGAUGGGAAUUUUUUCUUCUGAACACUUCAAAGUAAGAGUUUUCAAAAGUACAUAAAAAAAGAACAUGUACUAUUAAUUCACACCACUUUAGAACUAUAUGAUAAUGUUGUCCUGUGCAGCUAUGCUAUCAGUUGUCCGUAUAAUGCCUAUUUUAUAUGUCAUGAGAGUAAAAAAAAACUAUUUUAUAUCACAAUUUCUCAGUAGAUGUGAUGUAAAUUAAAAGGAUGCCGAAUGACAAAGGACCAAAGAAAGAAAAAGCGAGUUUUAUGGCACAGGCAGGAUCAGUUCUUACUUUCAUUCAUUCUUUUUCUACCAAUCAGCUACACAACCAAGCUGUCGCAGUACACACGGCAUUGUAGUACUGCACCAAUGAUUCUCUGCACUUGUAUCUGCAUGUCUGCUUCUGUUACCAUAGUAACAGAGGAAGACCAAUGACCCCUUCAUUAUGUGGCCCGUUGUGAGAAAGCUUCAAUUUCUGCAGGCCAUUAUGAAAAGGAGUCCACUUAGAGUGAAUACAAGUCAACAGUCUCCAUACAAAAGAGCUGCAGAAGGCCAACGCUGUCACUAAAUUACAGCCAUUUAAUUGAACUCCUUGUUGACAAGGAACGCAGGGUUUUGUUAUUUUCUAAAGUCCUGUUGGCUCUAGGACCGUCAUGUAAAUGGUCAUGAUGAGGAGAUUGACAGGCAACCAGGGCAACCUACAGCAACACUAUACUUAAUUCUUAAAAAAGGUCAUUGUGCCAUCCUGUGACUGUUGAAGACGGGCACAGCCCCCUUAUUAACCUACACUGUAACAGGUGCAUAAUAACGGUUUUCACUUUGUUGAUGCAAUUCCAGCUGAGCAAACCAGUGUUAGUAAAUUGCUAUACAUAUUGAUCCUAUUUUUUGUUGGAGAAUUGCUCAAUUUUAUAGAAGAAAAAACAACUUUUUAAUGGUUUUUAAAAUGACCAUCGUUUUUUAAAUAUUUACCAUGGUGACUAUUUUUUUUUAAUUGCAAAGGUUAGUCAAAGUUAGCCAAUAGUUGACAUGGUUGAAUCAAAUGUGAGCUGAAAGAAAGCCUAAAACUGUAUCUGCUGGGGAAAAAGAACAGCAAAAAGAAGAAAAAGAAUUCCGCAAGUAUGAGAACAAAAUAAAGAAAUCAAGUGUAAAACUUUUUUCAUGAUCUGUGGCUGUGAAAGCUGCUGCAGUGUGUGGGCUGAACUGUUAAAAAUCACGGCUAUUAUCACAACUUAUGUAAAACACAUUAUCAACAGCAAGGUGGAAUCAUUUUAUUUUUACACACUUCACUUCUUUUAUGAAACCAUUUAAAUGGAGCCUGUUCUCCUGCAGUCUAUUCGUUUAAGCUAUCCAACCAUGGAGUGUUCUUGAUCUGUUAAAGUCACUCGAGUGUUGAAAAUACACUCCAACUAGUUUCCUGCAGCAGCCGAGGUGACAGUUGUUCCACGAUGGUGAGCUACGAUUUGGGUUGAAUGAGAAACUAAUCUGCUGACAAAUACUGUCCACUGUCAAUCCAACAAUUUCGGAGAAUUUUGAUCAAUUCAUUUAAAAAAAAAAAAAGAAAAGAACAUUCUAUUUUUUUAUUCUAACCAGCCCUACUGUUCCGGUCUGCUCGAGUGUUUGACAGUCCCUUACUAUUUCACGCGCCACCUGAGUCAAACUGUGUAUUCUCGUGUCAGGAGUGAAUGAGGACUGAUAAAGUCUCUGCUGUUUCCUCCUCCUCCUCCUCCUCCUUCUCCUCUUCAUCUUUCUCCUCCACAGCAGCAGCUGAGCAGUACAGUCUGAGCAGCAGGACCGCUGUUGCAGCAUGGUAGCGGCGCUCACUUCUUCACAUGCGUCCGACUCCCCCCAGUGGAUCAUAUGCCUGGAUAAAAGACCUGGAGAACGCACCGCAGAAGAUGUCGACAUUAUCUCUGCCCGUCUGAGGAACGUGAAGGCCUUUGAGGGGUUCCGGCCUGGUUUGCUGCGGCAGAUUUGUCUGUGUGGUUUCUACGAGGGCUUAGAGAAAGGCAUCACCUGUAGGUGGCGGUGUGUUUCAGUGGGUAAGAUGUUAAUCUUCCCUCUGCUGUUUUCUUACGGCCUAUUCUGUCAGUGUAUCGACAGGGAGACAUUGGCACCAGCUGGUACGCUGUUCUCUCCGGUUCUCUGGACGUGAAAGUGUCUGCGACGUCCAGUUUUCAGGAUGCUGUUACCAUCUGCACACUGGGGACCGGCACAGCGUUUGGAGAAUCAAUCUUGGACAACACCCCCCGACAUGCCACCAUAGUCACCCGGGAAUUUAGUGAGCUUCUGCGCAUUGAACAGAGGGAGUUCAAGUCUCUGUGGGAGGUAAGGGCGUAUUUAACAACAUCUCCAGUGUUACUGAGAGAUGUAGAAUUUAGUGUCCUUAAAUGGACUAACUCUGGUCUAAUGAGAACAUCCACUCAUACCCAGGGGUAGUUUACACUCAUUAAAGCGUGAGUAAAAUUCACAUUCUAGGAAAUGACUGUAGACUGAAUUUAAGUUAAUGUUGGAUCCUGCUGCAGUGAUUAAAAAAUAAAUUUCAGCAGUAAUGACCUUCCAAAAAUCCACCCAGAGCUUAUUUUCUCGUGCUGCAAAAUAAGUGUAAAUGUUAAAAUAAAUAAUUUUGUAGAUAGUAGGAGAGGGAAUGUAAAUUUGGCCAUCUUUCAGACUAGUUGUCAGUUAAACUAAGCACAAAUCCUAAUCUUUUGUGUCUAAACAGCCAAUAUACCAUAUACGUGCUUCAUAUUCAUAUUUACUGGACAUUUCCAAUGUUGAACACUGGGUGGAAGUACUGAGCUGAAGGGAGGCUGUCACCCUGUGUCUGUCUGUUUCCUUACUUGCUGUGUUACAAUAUUACUAUAAGUUAUAAAGGUUUAUAAUAAGAAUAAAUAAAAGUACAUUUUGUUUCUGGGCCAGCUGUGCUGAACCCACUCCUCUGUCGCUCUGUUCCCUCUGUGUUAUGGGCUGGUUUCCUCAGAGACACAGCCCACUUCCUCUGGGACUGAAGGGCACAAGUGGGUCAUAUCAGGACCUGUGGGUCUGUCCUAGUGCACUGACACACACACACACACUCUCACACACACACAUGUUCUGUUGGGACUGUACUGGACUCGAUGCUGAUCACUGUCUCACUGAUGAUCUGAGCCAAAUUCUUCAACAAGGUUAGUUCCAGUUAUGGAAUAGAAUGACCAGUACUGAUGUGCUUCAGUCUUCACUGAUGGGUCAUACAGUAUUUUUAGGAGUUGCUUAUUACAUCAAUUGCACAUUUAAGAUUUUUCUUAAAGACAGAAACUGAGCUUUCCUUCGGGGUCAAACACAACUUGUUGGAGACCGAACAUAGUUAUAAUGGAACAAAAGAUGAAAAGUUGUCUAAUGAAUCAAACGUCACACAACGUCUCACAGUACCUCAAAACCACCGACAUCCUUUGCCGUGUUAGUGUCUUCAAACAUGCCUGGAGAAAACAGCGAUUUCUUCCCUGCGGUCAUUAUUACUGCUCCUGUUAUAUCACACGUUACGCAGAUGAAAUGUUGCUGUUUACCGUGUGUAUGACAGCCAAGAAAGCCAUGUCAACAGUUACCAACAUUAGCAUUAAUACACCGAUUGAUCAUCUGUCUUAAGAUGUGCUGACGUGGCUUUAAAUCACCAUUCUGCAGAAACUCUGACUGAAGAGCUGUCCAGCCAUAAUUUAAAUAAUCGGCCUGGCGACAGAUAAUCAUUAAACUCACUCGCACUUUGUUAUUCUGACAGCAGUUUCCCUCAUUUCUUUGGGCAGUGGUGGUAAAUUAUUCUUUGCCGUUUUGCUUCAUUGCAGGAACACAGUCUGUACAGUGGUGUAGUAACCAGUGGCAUCAAAACCUCUGACUGUUUGUUGUCAGCUCCGUGUGCUUCGGUGAUUAAUUGCCGCCAACUUUUUCACAUCUCUGCUGCUCCUGCUCGUCACCCUUGCUCUGUGGGUCCCGCUAAUGAGUUCAGCAACUUCACAGACUUCUUUUUUUUUAUUAAGCUCAAUUAUAUUUUUAUGGUUAAAGACAUUAAUCUGCUUGAGGUCAGGAUUGCCGGUACACUAAAACGCCAAGAACAUGUGGGAGGCGCUGGGGGAGGUUCUGUGGGAGAGAAACUGUGAAGGAAUAUUUGUGAAGGAAAUGUUCCAUUUACCCUGCUGUGAUGAAGACUAAGCCACGGGAAACAUGUACACCUCCUCCUCCUCCUCCUCUUCCUCUGUCUUCUCCUCCCACACAGCCCUGUCUUCAACUUUCAGAGUGAACGCAGCAAUGUUCCAGUGAACCACUGGGGACUAUUUUCUUAUUCAUGACCAUUCAUGUCAAUUAUUCAG